UGAAGUUUUUAAGGGCACAGGGUGGAUGCCUUGGCACUAGGAGCCGAAGAAGGACGUGGUAGCCUGCGAUAAGCCUCGGGGAGCUGGCAAACGAGCUGUGAUCCGAGGGUUUCCGAAUGGGGGAACCCCGCACGAGUCAUGUCGUGUGACCCGCACCUGAAUAUAUAGGGUGUGUGGAGGGAACGUCGGGAAGUGAAACAUCUCAGUACCGACAGGAAGAGAUAUUCCGUGAGUAGUGGCGAGCGAAAGCGGAUGAGGCCAAACCGGGCGCGUGUUCAAGCUGUCAGGCGUUGCGUGUUCGGGGUUGUGGGACCCUUCUGGUGGAUCUGACAGUCCACCGGGGAGUAAGAAAGCCGUGUCAUAGUCGAACCGCAUUGAAAGGCGGACCAUAGACGGUGCGAGUCCGGUAGACGAAAUGGUGCGGCCUCCCGAAGGGGAUCCCAAGUAGCACGGGGCCCGAGAAAUCUCGUGUGAAUCUGGCAAGACCACUUGCUAAGCCUAAAUACUACCUAGUGACCGAUAGCGGACCAGUACCGUGAGGGAAAGGUGAAAAGUACCCCGGGAGGGGAGUGAAAUAGUACCUGAAACCGUGUGCCUACAAUCCGUUGGAGCCUCCUUGGCUGGGGUGACAGCGUGCCUUUUGAAGAAUGAGCCUGCGAGUUAGUGCUCAGUGGCGAGGUUAACCCGUGUGGGGAAGCCGUAGCGAAAGCGAGUCCGAACAGGGCGCCCAUAGUCGCUGGGUCUAGACCCGAAGCGAAGUGAUCUAGCCAUGGGCAGGUUGAAGCGCGGGUAAGACCGCGUGGAGGACCGAACCCACCAGGGUUGAAAACCUGGGGGAUGACCUGUGGUUAGGGGUGAAAGGCCAAUCAAACUUCGUGAUAGCUGGUUCUCCCCGAAAUGCAUUUAGGUGCAGCGUCACGUGUUUCUUGCCGGAGGUAGAGCUACUGGAUGGCCGAUGGGCCCUACAAGGUUACUGACGUCAGCCAAACUCCGAAUGCCGGUAAGUGAAAGCGUGGCAGUGAGACUGCGGGGGAUAAGCUCCGUAGUCGAGAGGGAAACAGCCCAGACCACCGGCUAAGGCCCCUAAGCGUGUGCUAAGUGGGAAAGGAUGUGGAGUUGCACAGACAACCAGGAGGUUGGCUUAGAAGCAGCCACCCUUGAAAGAGUGCGUAAUAGCUCACUGGUCAAGUGAUUCCGCGCCGACAAUGUAGCGGGGCUCAAGUACACCGCCGAAGCCGUGGCAUCUGCGCUCAACUCAGGCCUUCGUGGUCCAGAGGCGCAGGUGGGUAGGGGAGCGUCGUGUGGGCGGUGAAGCCGCGGGGGAACCCAGCGGUGGAGCCCACACGAGUGAGAAUGCAGGCAUGAGUAGCGAAAGACGGGUGAGAAACCCGUCCGCCGAAUGACCAAGGGUUCCAGGGCCAGGUUAAUCCGCCCUGGGUAAGUCGGGACCUAAGGCGAGGCCGACAGGCGUAGUCGAUGGACAAGGAGUUGAUAUUCUCCUACCGGCGAAGAACCGCCCAUACCGAGCCCGGUGAUGCUGACCGCCCAAACCUGCCCAUCGACCCUUCGGGGUCACCGGGCAGGGGCGCGCGGGACCCAAUCCGGUAGUAGGUAAGCGUAUUAACAGGGGUGACGCAGGAAGGUAGCCCGGCGUGGCGAUGGUAGACCACGUCCAAGGCUGUAGGCCGUCGGGUAGGCAAAUCCGCCCGACAUGAAGGCUGAGAGCUGACGGUGAGCGCACAAGCGCGAACUGGGUGAUCCUAUGCUGCCAAGAAAAGCCUCGACGCGAGGUUCUAGCCGCCCGUACCCCAAACCGACUCAGGUGGUCAGGUAGAGAAUACUAAGGCGAUCGAGAGAAUCGUGGUUAAGGAACUCGGCAAAAUGCCCCCGUAACUUCGGGAGAAGGGGGGCCCGAAGCGUGAACACCCUCGCGGUGGGAGCGUGGACGGCCGCAGAGACCAGGGAGAAGCGACUGUUUACUAAAAACACAGGUCCGUGCGAAGUCGCAAGACGAUGUAUACGGACUGACGCCUGCCCGGUGCUGGAAGGUUAAGAGGACGGGUCAACCCUUCGGGGUGAAGCUCAGAAUUUAAGCCCCAGUAAACGGCGGUGGUAACUAUAACCAUCCUAAGGUAGCGAAAUUCCUUGUCGGGUAAGUUCCGACCUGCACGAAUGGCGUA
Molecule: ribosomal RNA, 2180 nt
Filed under: human gut metagenome
Description: bacterial LSU rRNA
Rfam family: Bacterial large subunit ribosomal RNA
Source: RNAcentral